GCCUGACGGAGCAAUACCGCGUGAGGGAAGAAGGCUCUUGGGUUGUAAACCUCUUUUCUCAGGGAAUAAAAAAAUGAAGGUACCUGAGGAAUAAGCAUCGGCUAACUCCGUGCCAGCAGCCGCGGUAAUACGGAGGAUGCAAGCGUUAUCCGGAAUGAUUGGGCGUAAAGCGUCCGCAGGUGGUACAACAAGUCUAGUGUCAAAGACCGGGGCUCAACCCCGGAAAGGCGGUGGAAACUGUUGAACUAGAGGGUCGUAGGGGUAGAGGGAAUUCCCAGUGUAGCGGUGAAAUGCGUAGAGAUUGGGAAGAACAUCGGUGGCGAAGGCGCUCUACUGGACGGCAACUGACACUCAGGGACGAAAGCUAGGGGAGCGAAUGGGAUUAGAUACCCCAGUAGUCC
Molecule: ribosomal RNA, 401 nt
Filed under: uncultured Antarctic cyanobacterium
Lineage: Bacteria; Bacillati; Cyanobacteriota
Description: bacterial SSU rRNA
Rfam family: Bacterial small subunit ribosomal RNA
Source: RNAcentral